Long non-coding RNA from Megalobrama amblycephala (Wuchang bream), 940 nucleotides. RefSeq lists it as uncharacterized. Lineage: Eukaryota; Metazoa; Chordata; Actinopteri; Cypriniformes; Xenocyprididae. The record is from RefSeq and is a predicted model, not a curated record. The transcript has 2 exons.
UUUAAUCUAAAGUAAUUUUUGCUUAUUAGUAUGGUUGAAUCAGAUCAUUGAAAGUCAGCAGCAAAGACAUUGGUUAAUAAUAAAGUGAGAUUAAAUACAUAAAGUAUAUUUGUGCAAUUUAAUAUUGAAGUACAGAUUUGUGUAAAAUUCUGAGAUUGCAUUUCACUGUUUUUAUUCAUUUUGGGGAAUACUGACUGUUUUUGUGUAAGUGAAAUGAGUAAAUGCAUGUUCACAUUUAGUCUACAACUACAAUCACUAUCAUGUUUACACAGCGCACACACACCUCUGAACUAGGUCUAACUUGCGUUACUUAUUUGAAAAUGUAACUUAGAUAUUUUGUUGUAAGUUGAAAAAGUAAUGCAUUACUUUAAUAGAUACUUGAAAAAAGUAAUCUGAUUAAGUGACUCAAGUUACUUAUAAUGCGUUGCCCCCAACACAAUGUGAACCAAUGAAUUGUAUAUUCUGCAAAUUUUUUUUCACACAUACACACAAUAUUUAUAUCAAUAUGAUAGAACUCUUCAAUCUGAACAGCUUUGCCUCAAGAACCACUGCUGACAAUCAAACCAUAUUUGGUUAAUAUUUGGUUUAUACUUGGAAUAACUCAUGUAAUCUGCUGAAGUCAUGUGCGGCAGGUUUCUGGCAGACCACAUCUCAGCCUAUUCAAUAACACUAUUAGUCGUUUUGCAUCUUUCCUUGAAUUCCUAUUGGUGGAUUACUAAUCAUAUGAUUGGCAGCUAUUUAAAUGUAGUUAUUUCGAUUAUUUCAGUUAUUUCCCUCUCUGCUCUCUCGCUUUACAACAGCCGUUGCCCAAACAAACUGUAUAGCUUCAGUUCUGCAGGUGUCCGUGUGAGGUUUGAGCACCGUGGACUUUACCUCCCUCUAGUGGUGCAAUGUGAAAAUGAAAAAGCAUGAAAAGCAUGCAUUCAGUCAGACAAACAAA